GUUUAUUUUCUACCUUUCUUCUGUUUCUAGGUAAAUUAAUUGAAUUCUGGGUAAAUGUGAAUAUCUGGCAUUAACAUAUUUUCAUCUUGUAAUUUUCAAUGGACUUUCAUAUCUAAUUUAAUUCUCAUAGCCUUUUCAAAUAUGUUAAUAAUUCACUAUCUCUCAAUUAUAUUGAAAAGAACUUGAUUAUUUCAGGCCAUUUAGCCAGUCCAGGGUUGCAUAGCUCGGCAAUCAAAGAGCGAGGGCCAGAGAUUGGAAAUUCUGCAUCACUGGGCUAGAGCACUCUUCAAUAAACAAUUCCUUCUAAGAGAUGGAAAUGUGUCAGAGAUGGUGAAACUUAGGAAGAAGAUUGGAGUAAAUAAUAUAUUAUUUCCAAAAUCUCAACGUGCCAGAUUUGAUAUAAGGAUAUCAGUUUAAAACUAACUUCAAUUUUCAUUUAGUGCAUGAGUUAGAACAGGCAGGUUUACUUCUUUCGACACAGUAAUAGAGACAGUAUGUUGUGAUGAUUAAAAGCAUGGACCCUAGAGUCAGACUGCCUGAGUUUAAAUUUGGAUCUAUCACUUAAUAUUUGUAGCACUGUAGCAAAAUUUCAGUAGUUCUAUGGUUUCAUUUUCUGAUAUGUAAAUUACAUUUUAUAGGAACAUUGCCUGCAGGUAAUUAUGAGGAUUAAAUGAGCAAUUACACAUAAAAUAUUUUGAAGAGUGCUCUUCACAUAGCAAACAUUCAAUAAAUAUUAAGUAUUAUUAUUCAACCAUUGAGAAAAGUUUGAGCUUCCUUAGACAUUAGUAUUUAUUAUUUUAUUAUCAACCAAGUUUCUCUUUUUGCUCUAAAAAAGGGUUAAUUAAAAAAGAAAGCAUCAUUGAGCUACUCCAACUCUUUUGGAGUUCUCUUUUGCUGAAAUAUAUGUGGCUUCCUCCUUCGAAACUAUCAAUUGUCAUUGAGUGACCGUUCAUCUAUACAUGUCUACAAAUAUGAGACAUAAGAUUGUCAGUUGAUCUGGGAGUGGAGCAAUGGCCACUGCUGUGAAGGUGAGGGAAAGAUAAAAUUAUAUCCAGUGAUUACUGUGCCAUCAUCUCUUUUGAUAAUUAUGAAGAAUAACUAUUAAAAAGUAAGCAUCAAAGAAAAUCUUAUCUUAGGGACUAUGCUUAAAUAAGCUUGGGAUCUGAGUCCUAGGGAACAAUCACUUCUUUGUGCAAGCUGUUUUCUGCUAAACCCCUUAUUUCCAAUCACAGAAUUAAAGGCAAUAAAGAAAUCAAAUUAUAUGAAGAAUAUUUACCUGUAAGAAUCUUUCAAGGAUGUUACACACUUCAAGACUGAAAGAAACUUUCAGGAUUCAAAAAUGAAAUAUGAAAGCCAAAUGGAACAAUGGAAGGAGAAAAGAAUAGAAGAAACAAAAAAUUAAGUGGAGUCCAAAGAGGAGCCAAAGAAUCUGUUCUUCUAUGCAAUUUUCAGUGCAUCCUGAAACUACUGUCACAAAACCUAUCUUCCUGAAGGAGAGAGUCUCAUGACAGAAAAACUAAAAAACUAUCUAUAAAGAGUACCAUUGGCAGUGAAGUUUCAUGUCAUCUGGGCCACCCACUCACAGGAGAGCUGCUUUGCUUACCUAUUUGUCUUAGAUUUAAAAACAUGGCAGGUUUUUUUAAAAACUAAUUUAAAAAUAAAUAUUUUAUUGAAUUUGA
Molecule: non-coding RNA, 1679 nt
Organism: Equus caballus (horse)
Lineage: Eukaryota; Metazoa; Chordata; Mammalia; Perissodactyla; Equidae
Source: RefSeq, a predicted model, not a curated record